This is a long non-coding RNA of Lynx canadensis (Canada lynx), 3941 nucleotides long. RefSeq lists it as uncharacterized. The transcript has 2 exons. The record is from RefSeq and is a predicted model, not a curated record. Lineage: Eukaryota; Metazoa; Chordata; Mammalia; Carnivora; Felidae.
AAAAAAUUUUAAGAGCUUUUUAUCAUAAGUAAACUCUACACCCAACAUGGGGCUCGAACUCAGGAGCCCGAGAUCAAGGCGCAGACUCUGCCAAGCUAACCAGCCAGACACUCCUACUCGGCAGCUUCUCGGGAGACCCAGAUGGAUGUCAAACCUCCAGAAAUUCCAGAACCGCUGCAGGGAACCUCGUCCAUCCAGUGCUUACUGGUGCCUUUCCGGCUUCAACUUCACUUUUUGUUUGAUGGCCAUCCGCUUCCUGUUCUAAAAUUAAUCGGCGCGUCAUUCGAGCACCACCCCUUAGGUAGGAUUUUGGCACGAUUGCCCUAAAAGCUUCCUUGGAGGCUAGAUUUUACUUGGACAUUCUUUCCCUUAUAAGUUCCCUGAUAAAGGUGUUUCUGAAAGCGUAAGCGUAGUUCUGGUUUUGCCACUCGGAAUUUCAUUUCUAAGGUGUGUGGGCAUUUUGCGUUAGUGACGGUAGGACGGUCAUCUGUUGAAAUGACAAGAGAGGGCAUCAUCUGGUAGUUCACCUGUCCUGAUUUUCCAUGAGAGCAUCUCUCAGUGGAGUCGUGCCAUGGGCAUCAGACAGACGUGCUAGUGACCAGGGGGAGUCCCAGAAGAUGGCUUUAAAUCCAAUGGUCUAGAACAGUGUCAGGUUUAGCAGGUCUGAUGGUCGCCAUGUUCCUUAUAUCAGCUUGUUUGAGAAGAAUGACGAAGCCACACGGCUAUUCUUAGCAACAAUCCCAGAAGCCCCCUCCUUUGUCGCCCUCAAAAUCGACUCGAGAUGCUUUGUCUUCCGAUGGAGAUGUCUUCUGGGCACGCCAUCCUUUAGCGUUACACCCAAUUAACUGCAAAAACUGCAGGUCUGGCUUCUUCCCUUUUAGAUACGAUAAGUGGUUUUAGUAGCACGGGGGCCGAUUCCUUCUUGGGACGUACGAGGAUUAUUCACUUGAAGUGCCACAGGAAAAGGGCUUAAAUAUAUAUUACAAGUGAGAGUCUGUUUGAUCUUUCCCGUGUAGGUGUAUCCGGGAAAUUCCAUAUGGCAUCAGCUUGUAUGGAUCUGAGGCCUGAGAGACUAGAUGUUUCUACCCUCUUGAUGGGUGGAGAAGUGAAUUCUACAGUGUCUGUUGUGAGUUCAUUUAGGCUUUUGGAAGGACUUCCUAAUUACCUAAACUAAAUGGUUCCUCCUACCUUGUUCGGGCUCAUUUUUUUCCUUCUGGCUGAGGUGAGAAUGGGUCACAAACACCACGCAGAGUGCAGGACGUCACUUGACGCCUCCUGGGGAUGUCGAGAUAGCGGGAGCCUCACCCUGGAUUUUCCAGCGGUCUCCGAUCAGGCUGAUUCUGACAUACUUCGGGUGUCGUGCAGAUGAUAGGAGGGAGAGCACGGGACGAGAGACGAGAAUGGACGCCGUAGAGUUCACGAGGACCUUCGAGCCUGGGUCGUUGGCUACUCGGGAACUUGGAGGUCCCUGGAUUUGAUCAGAUUGAUGUUGUUUUGGUGACCGGGGAAGGAUGUCGGUAUCAGAGCCGGUCUUUCCUACCUUUGGUGCCAGGUGACUGCAUGGCAUUUAAGGGAGACCUUCACUGAACUUAUUUUUUUGUAGCUGGAGGGGAGUUUUCAGUUAGGGGUUGUAGGUGCCUUAAAGAGUGGGCUUUACUCCAAGGCCUGGGGAUCAUUUUCUUUUCACUCAUUGAUUUUGAGUAGUGUCGACGCAGAGUGUAGGGCGGUUACUGGGCAGGGUCUGCCCUAUAGGAAGCAGGUCCCCACCUCCCCCAGGUUGCUGGCCUGGCCUUGGAUCCGAACCCUCUCGGUGGGGCCGGUGAGGCCAGGUUACCUGCAGACGGGACCUGGGCCGGGCUGCCUGGCAUCCCGUGGGGUCACCCGGAGCGGAGCUGGGGCACCCGAAGAAGCGUGCGGCAGGGGUGUGGGCUGGCUGAUAGACUGGGAGCCUUCCGAGGCAAGAACCGUUUUUGGUGUUUUGCUUUUUUUAAUUAUUCUUUUGUUCACUGUUGUCAUCCCGAGCAGGUGGCCAGCGUGCUCAGUAAAUGUUUAAUGGGAGAAAAGCAACAGCUGACAUUUUGGGGGCUCCUACUACGUAUGGUAGACGGGUUACGUUGUGUCCGAGUCCUUAGGGCCACCGCUCAAGGUAUGAAGAGUUGUUCUCAUCUUCUAGAGGAGGGCGCGGAACGGAAAGCGUGCGCCCUGGGUCACAAAGCCGGCGAGCGGUGGGGAGCAGACGAGGAUCAAGGUCUCGGUGAUGGAGCCCAGCGUCCUUAGUCACCUGACCACCGUGAACGAAGGAAUGAGUUUCUGGGAUGGGGUUCUUCUGCCCUCCGAGGCUGAAAUGCUCCCCACGCCUGCUAUUUUUUAACCUUACCCACGGCCGUUUUUGUGGGUUUCCUUCCGAGCCUGCCAUGAGCCUUUGGACGGAGCCCCUCCUGGACCCUCUGCGGAGGGAGGGCCCAGGAUGCCCUCCCUUCCCUCGUAAAGUCUCCCGCAGAGCUGAUCGCGUGGACCAGUGGCUUUCUACCUGCUGUGUGGUCCUCGUCUCCUGAGGAUGCUUGAGGAAGAUCGACCCCGGCUUUGUCCCAUAACCUGCAUGUGGAUUUCUAGCGUGCAGACUUCUCUCUUACCUGCCCAGUUAGCGACCUCCGUGGCGGCUCCGCUGACUGUAGGGUGGGAGGCCAACUCCCGAUGGAGAUGUUUCCAACCAGCCCGGUGUCUCACAGCUCCCGGCCAACUCCCUGCGAAGUAACGCUCUGACCAGUGCAGUUGCCUUGGGGCCCCAAUAAACAUUUCUGCACGAACAUCCUUUACCCUGGCCUGCACUGCCCAGACCCUCGCCCGGCUCCUCGCUGGCCUUCGCCGGGACAGCGGUCCAGAGUGAGGCACCCUGGCUGCAGCCUGGGUCACUGGCCCAGGUCAGGCCUGCUCUCACCUUCCCCCUGCCUUGCCUCGAGUGCAGCAAAGUUAGACCCUCACUGCCCCUUCGCAGAGUCGGUAUUUCGAUACGUUAAUGGAGUCCGGACGGCACGCCUCUGGACUGGGCACACGGCCCCGAUCCGGCUGUGGCCUUCACCUCCCACUGCCUCCUGCACGGCGGACCUCCCGGCUCUGCACUUGGCUUUUGUUGGCCUCUACGUGAAUGUCCUUCCCAUCCGUCCAAACAGCUGCUAACCCCUUGAGCCCAGACAGCUCCCCGGGUCCGAAGACUGGGGCUCUCAGUGCUGCGGGACGGAGCUGCUCUGACACGUCUGGUCCUUUGAAGACCUUCCAGAGCUUUGGGUGGGUUCCAGGGGGGUGUUUGAGAGGCCCUGGACGGACCAAACUUUCUUGUCUCAGCCGGUCGGGGUUCGUUGGGGCCUCGGCUGUGGGACCGGAGGGCAGCUUGGUAGUCGUUCUCCUUGGCCUCCUCGGGGUGGUGCUGGGCCCGGCGGGGAUGUGGAAACCGCUCGCUACCCCGGGAAGGGACGCUUUUUCCCACAAGCUGACUUAGAGCCACAUUCCCCGGGGAGCCCUUGAAGCCGGCGUGAGAAUUGACCGAGGGGGUGAGUCCUGGCUUUCGAUCCCAUAAUUGUUGUCAGCGCAAAAAUGACUCACGACUUUCCAUUGUCAGGUUUGGGUUGUAACAGCGUGCUCGAGCCGGGCUCUGGGCUGAGCCCGGGCUCCUGUGAGCGGAGGGAAGAAGCCGAAGCCUCGGGGAAGAAGGCGGGGCGCUCUGCCCGAACCCCCGGCAGCGGGCAGAGCGAGAGGCCUCUGAAGGCGUCCCGCAAACUGGCACUUGGGCCUCCGGGCUUCACUUCCAUUUCAUCCCUGCAGCUGGAGUAGUUCAUCCAACCCGUUUUUCUUUCUUUUCUCUUGCCUGUGGUUGUGGACACUACCUAAAAAUAAAAGACGAUGCUUAUCGCAUCGAAUUAAAGGGAUUGUUUUAAACGAAAGCA